GAUGAACGCUAGCUACAGGCUUAACACAUGCAAGUCGAGGGGUAACGAGAGGAAAGCUUGCUUUUGAUGGGCGUCGACCGGCGCACGGGUGAGUAACGCGUAUCCAACCUGCCCACCACUUGGGGAUAACCUUGCGAAAGUAAGACUAAUACCCAAUGAUAUCUCUAGAAGACAUCUGAAGGAGAUUAAAGAUUUAUCGGUGAUGGAUGGGGAUGCGUCUGAUUAGCUUGUUGGCGGGGUAACGGCCCACCAAGGCGACGAUCAGUAGGGGUUCUGAGAGGAAGGUCCCCCACAUUGGAACUGAGACACGGUCCAAACUCCUACGGGAGGCAGCAGUGAGGAAUAUUGGUCAAUGGGCGAGAGCCUGAACCAGCCAAGUAGCGUGCAGGAUGACGGCCCUAUGGGUUGUAGACUGCUUUUAUAAGGGAAUAAAGUGAGUCUCGUGAGACUUUUUGCAUGUACCUUAUGAAUAAGGACCGGCUAAUUCCGUGCCAGCAGCCGCCGUAA
RNAcentral lists this ribosomal RNA (507 nucleotides) under uncultured bacterium. Its description in RNAcentral is "partial 16S ribosomal RNA". It matches the Rfam family "Bacterial small subunit ribosomal RNA", at positions 28 to 523 of the family's 1533-position model. The record is from RNAcentral.